Long non-coding RNA from Oncorhynchus tshawytscha (Chinook salmon), 8588 nucleotides. The record is from Ensembl. Lineage: Eukaryota; Metazoa; Chordata; Actinopteri; Salmoniformes; Salmonidae.
GCAUGCUCUUCCAAGUUCAGCAGACUUUAGUUGACUGUAAAUGAUUGAAUCAAUAAAAGGAGGACAACGCAGGAUCAAUCUUCUACAGGACUGUGCUUUAUUUUAGUCUAAGCAGAAUAUAAUGAACUAGAGAACUACAGUUCAGGAGCACUAUGGGAGGAACCACCCCGAAUUAGGGAAAAACAGACCCGUGCCAACACUAAGUCAAAUUACAGUUCUGUUUUGAGAAAAUAAAGAUAAUCAACUGAUUUUGUUCAAGUAAAAAUGAGAAAGAUAUACAAUUAUAUCAUUCAACUAAAAUAUUAUAAAUAAAUGAACUAAUAAGUACCUAAAAUAAAUGAUGUUAAUUACAUAAAAUGACAUGCUUUAUUUGUCUGACAGAAGUAAAAUCAAGUGGAUGAAAUGUGAGAGAGAAGCUGGGAAUGUAAUGUCUCAUGAAGCAAAGUACAGUGGAUGUUUUUGCUUUCCUGUAUAUCUGAAUGGUUGCACAAAGGCUCUCAUUUCAUGUUUUGUUCGGGAAACUCUGCUCUAUUGGUUUCAUGUGAUAAAAUUUGGUCCAUGUAACCGAUGGAAAUGUAACUAUACUGUAUGAUCCCGUCCUUAUUGGUGUCAGAAGUGGGAUUGAGGCAAAACUGACACAAGGCAAUCUUUACAACUGACAGCUGCAUUUCAAUUAAACAGAAUCUCAUCUCUGCAAGGAAAAACCAGAGCAUGUUUAUGAACAAUGGAAAAGAACUAGCAUUGGCACCCCCAGAAUACAAUGUAUGUGCUACGUUUUUGAAGGUAGUACCGUCAGAGAGAAUGCAUGUGUUUUAAGGCAGACUUCCCUCUUUUGAUCAGUUUGGUGUCAAGGCCACGGGUUGACCUGACUUGACCAAAACAGUGUAGUGGAACGUUCAAUCUGUUAUUGGCACAUUGUCUUCAGUGGUGUUGGAGUCAACCACAGUUAUUAUAUACAAGAUAGACCAGUAAUGUUGAAAUAGCUCUUCAGAAAUGAUCUCUGAGAGAAAUUCCCGCAUGCAGAGAAGAUGAAAAUAAAAGAGAUGUCUCUGAUUCUUUUUCAAGAAAAAAAUGAAUUCAAGAUGAAAGAAAUAAUCAAACAAAAGAGAAAUGUAUGGCUGAAAGACAAUGGUCAUGUUAAAUGACAGCUUAUUUUUCAAAACAAAUCUGACAACAAAUGUUGUCAUCUUUAUGAAUCCACAUGAACUUUUAUCAUCCUUUACGGUCCAGUUUCUUCAUUCCUGUCCUGAAUGUAAGAGCUUUCUGUCAACAACAUAUCUUUAAACUUGCCCAUUUACAUGUAAUUCCAUAUGGGGAUUGUGUAGCAAAAUGUCCCUUCAACAUGUAUCUUCAAAGCAUAUCAGAAUAAACCUUGAGACAAUGGGUCCAUCACAGCUUCAGCAGAUAACAAAACAGAAAACAUAAGAGAAUGGGAAAAAAUAACCAUUUUAUCAACAUGAAUAUAAAAUCCAUUUUAACAUCAGCGCUUCAAUAUACAAGAAAUAAAAAUGUUUUCUCUCUACUGUUUUUGAUAAAUUAUUUCAUAGUUUCCUUCUCGUAGUCAGUGAAAUAUAUUAACUAUUUCUUUCUUUUUUUUCAACAUAAUUUAUUGUACGGUCGUCUAUAAAGAAGCCUUAACAGAAUUAAAAAAUAAGCUAUGUAAUAUGUACAGGAGUACCGCAGGCAGCUGUGUACUCGGGCCGUGGGGAGAGCAGAGGCAGGGGCAGGCCACAGAGGCAGGGAGAUCUGCAGGGUAGUCAUUCAUUCUAGUAGCAGUGCAUCCGGCUCACCUGGCCCAAUCCUCUCUCUUUCUCAUCAUACACCUGUGUUCUGUGUUUGGAUCAUAUGGAAAUAUGUUUUCAGCUCCAGUCUGGCAAACCCUCACCCCCUUCCGCCCAUACCCGUGGAGCUGUGGAGCAUAGCGGUGACUGGCGGACGCCGCCCCGGUGGCAAGCUAGCUAGCAACUUGCGAACUAAUGGCUGCUGUCACUAUCACCUGCUCCUCUGCACGGCACGGAGCAGACUGAGGGGCAGGCCUUCUCGUCACGUAUUUGAGGUCACAUCUAUCCGUCUAAUCAGCUCCAAUUGGACUAAUCCAAUUAGCUAGUGCACAGGCAAUCUUUCAACUGUCAGAAAUAUCAUGAUGUGUCAGUGUAAACCUAAUUAAUGGAUUGCUCCAGGCUGGAAUAGAAGCCCUACUAAAUCAUCUAGAAUCAGAUCUCUGCUAUCCUCUCCCUGUUAUGUUGGGUGGUGUUCAGCUGAGGGUAUAGUGCAUAUUCAUUCAUGUUUACUCAGUAACCAAAAAGGCCAAAGUGUUAAAAAGUCCCACCCUCUCCAAAGAUUCCCUGCACUGCUGUGGAUACGUUUUAUAGUGACAUCAAUGUCCCACACAGCCAGGCGACUACUUUAGACAGACCUCUCUACUGUACAGUUCUUACUUCCUGACUCAUUUGUUUCUGUGUUCUAUUAUUUACAUGAAGGAAUAAAAAAUUCUGUCUCCAUUUUUUGAUUUGAAUCUCCAGCUUUGUUGUCAAACAUGAUCCCACACUUUUCUGUGAUUGACUGCACUUUAUGCUGUUUAUGAUAGGAUCAAAGUCUUCCUUUUAGUGUCUUUUAAAAUUGCACGUUGACCUGAUGGAUCCAAGGCAUUAAUGUUUCAAUGACAGACAACACUCCCCCUGACUGACUGACAGUGUGAUCGUGUCUCUGGCUCCUCCAGCUGCCCUGGCAGAGGUCCAACAUGCUCCCCCAGCUCCCACCAUACUCUCAGUGCCUCUGGGUGAAUACGCAGCUCUUAUUCCUCCCCAGCCAGACAAGGCAGGCAGGGCCCAUGGGGAAGGCAAGGCUCUGAAAGUUUCCACUAAUCAUGACAUCAUAGCGCCUGAUGCCCUGAGUAUUGAGGUGACUUUGUGGAGUUUCAGUUUAGCAUCCAGCCCCCCCCAAACCCACUUCACUUCCCCUCUCAGCAAAAAUCCCAUUUCCACAGCGAAAAUCCCUUUUUGCGUUAGCUAAGCGAGAUGACGGAAAAGCUCUCCUUUUCUCCCAAAGCAGCUAUUAAAUGAGAGCCAUUAAUUUCUCCCUCCUGUCCAACAGGUUCCUUUAAUUAUCUCUCCACUUUCAGUCAAUUACAUUUCACUUCCUUUCCUUGACAAUCACUGCUAUUUUAGGGUGAGUGUUCUCUACACCCAGGGGCUGGGGUCUGCUACACAUGCUAGGCAGAUCUCUCUUCGCCCACUAGGAUUGGUUAUUCAACCCAUCCGCCAGCUUCAGAGCUCAGAUGAUUGGUUAUCUAGCCUCUUAGCCUCUUAGUCAAGCUCUUCGGCUCUUAGGACUGGUUAUCCUGCCCCUCUGUCAGCCUCGGAGCUCUGAGGUUUCUAACUCCUCAUGAGGACAGACUUUAUGGAAUGCAAACUAGGAAGGCAUUAUAUCUAGAGCCAGUAGAGGAGGCAGAAUAACCAGAGGUUAAGAAAUGUGAAUAACUGCCUCACAGGUGCUAAUGUUACAUGAGAAGGUCAGACAUUACAGUGACCGUUGACAGGACCAUAAAUAUGUUUUUGUUAUAUUAUAUUUUACAUACAGUACCAGUCAAAAGUUUGGACACACCUACUCAUUCAAGGGUUUUUCUUUAUUUUUACUUUUUUCUACAUUGUAGAAUAAUAGUGAAGAUAUAAACUAUGAAUUAACACAUAUAGUAAAAAUAAAGAAAGGUGUGUCCGAACUUUUGACUGUUACUGUAUUUCCAAACAGACUCAUAAAGUGAGUCGAACUAACAAUAGCAAUAACCUAUAAUGUCAAUCUAAAUAUUCUCAUCUUAACAUGAGUGGGUGGCUUUCAGUCCUGCGUAAGGCGAGUCACUCCUAAGUUAACAUUCUUGACUAAAGGCCAGACAGGGCCAGAGCUGGGCUAAGAUGGGCUGAGAUGGGCUGAGCUGGGCUGAGAUGGGCUGAGAUGGGCUGAGAUGGGCUGAGCUGGGCUGAGAUGGGCUGAGAUGGGCUGAGAUGGGCUGAGAUGGGCUGAGCUGGCAGACUUCUGGAGUCAGUAAGAGAAGGAAUUAAAACCCACUUCUCAUUUUCUUUCUUCCAGAGCCUGGCUUCACUACAGCUAUUUCUGUUUUCACUGCAUGUCACACUAAUAACCUUCCUCCCCUGUGUGGAAGAGCAAUAAGAGGACCCUGGUUCUAACAGCUCCCUGAUUUAACAUGGUCUAAUCUAGCCUUCCCAAGCACGUUUCUGCAGCUCCCUGGUGCAGCAGAAAGGCUAUACGAGUGUAGCACGUUAGCCAAGCAGGGAAUAUAAGACUGGGCAGGGGAUUGGACCUAGGCUGAACCUAACCUUGCUCUAAGUUGACUGUAGGGGUGUGCAGCAUUUAACUGGUGUAGGAGCCAUCAGAGGGCUCGUGGGGAGGCUAAUGGGACUAGUCUUGCAGGAGGUGCUUUUGAAGCGGCAGAGAGACAAGCAUAGGAGAUUUCAUCGCUCACGGAACAUUAGGUUUCCUAUUGAUUAAUUCAGCAUUACGUAAAUAAUGAGCACAAAAGGGCUGCUGUGAAGAACAUGCAUUCAUAUUGACCUACUUCACAUUAACUCUUGUUGCUUCCUAGUUCCUACAUGUUUUGCUGACUUCAUAACAACUAAAGGCUGAGUGUUUUUACUGUGUUUUUGAAGGCAAGCUGAGACAACACACGACCAAAGCUGGCACUGUUUUUUUCAACGGGCAUCAUUUUGAUUCAAAAUAACUACUGUGCUUCACCAAUAUUGUUCCUCCAGUUCUGAACAAUAUUCUGUGCUUUGCAGGUGUCCCGACUGUAAUACUGCCGUGAAAAAUGCAAAAAUUUUAGAGCGGGUUGUUUUGUGGACAAUGGCGGCUUCUGAGGCGAUUGUUGAGACACAAUUAUGUGCUGAAAGCUGAUGUACAAUAACAUGGGCCACCUGGCAGGCAGCUGCAACGGAGGAACUGAGGGUUUUUCAACGGACUAGUUGGUUGUCUGCUACCCAUUUCAACCUGCUAUUGUUCAGUAGCUUUUAUGCCUGGAGAAAUAUUUCAAACCUAGUCUAUUUUGCCUUAUUUUCAACAUAAUCUAUACCCACGCCAAUCAAAUAUCCAACAUUAAUACCCAGAGUAGCUAUGAUAUGGCUGGGUUUUAUCCAUCUUCCUGGAUCCCAUCUCCAUCAUAAAUACGGAUGCGGUGAUAUCGGUGCCAGGUCAGCUGUCGGCAUCCUUGCCAGGGAGCCGCUACAAACAUAAUUCUCUCUAAUCUACCUUCUGUCAUCACAGAGCAUUCAAGGGACCAUCCCCACUGUCAUUUGGUCCAGGUGAUUAUGCAGAUGACUUUUCACUUGGUUGGUGUUAAUGUAUAGAGCCUCACUAUUACAACGUGAUUAGAGGGAAAGGUGAAAUAGCAUGUCUAAUACGGAGGAAGAGAUAAUUGAAGGCUAUUGAAGCCAAACACUGAACUGCAAGUUGGUUUGAAACAUUGUUCCAGGGGAACAGCUGAACAGCAUAGCCUGGUAAAACCAGACUGAACCCACCAUUUUUGAGUGCAGAGUUCAGUCUGGUUGAACCAGGCUAUGAACAGCUAGGUUGGGGUUCUGGAAGGCAUGAUGGAACAGAACAGUGUCUAUUUAUAGCAGAGGAACACAAACACAAAGUCAGAAGCUAACAUUCAUUACAGUAGUGUGGUAUGGUGAAAGCAAGGAUACAAAUCAAGACAAAUCCAAGACCUUUUCGCUCACAGAAAUGAGUGGCAUGGUAUUGUCUUUAAGCAGCUGGGAGAAAGACAAUGAAAGUCAUUGUACUGUAAAUGUGUCUUGUGUGAUGCAGGCAGGCAGGGCUUUCAGUCAGUGACUUGGAAUGCGUCCGCUCUGCUUUGGAGAGCAAGUCCCAGAGGUAAACAGAGACAGACUGGACAGAAGGCAGCAGGUACCUAAUACAUGCCAAGUGAUUCCUUAUCAACCCUUCAAUCCCAUUCCCAAAGAGCUAGGCAGCACAGAUACAUGAUGUUUGGCAAGGUGGUGGUGUUGAGUGGGGGGGGUUGUGGCUUUUGAUUGCAUGGAUUUGGUCCCCCGGGGGAUAAUUCCAAGGAGCAUCACUUUGAAGGAUAAGAAAAGACAAGGUUGGACAUGUUGGUGUGGAGUAGGACUCAGAGAUCAGGGUUUGGCUGUUGACUUCUCCCACUCUCCUCUCGCCUUCUCUUCCCUGUCCAGCUCUGCCUCCCCCUCUGUAUGCCUUCAGUCAGCUCUCAGGGAGUUGGGAGGGAGGGGGAGAGCUGGGGGAAAGCUGGUGUUCUACUGAGAGAACUUGAGGAAGUGUGGACAGUGAAUGACUUGCAAUCUUAUCCUUCCUCGAGACUCAACGCAAACAUAUCGAUCUGGUUUUCAUAUAGCGGGGCCAGCUGCAUCCACCACAAAAUAAAGGGCUCAUAGACACUAACUAAAAGCCUGACAAGUUAAGAGUUCAGAGUUGUGAUCUGCUAGGCAUGGAUUGGCAGGGAGGAGCUGAACGAUGGCGGUUGUAUGGCUGUAAUUCAGACUGUGUUAGGUUAGGUUGAGACGGAUAGGUAGGUUUUUCCACAGGCUCAUUAUAUAAUAUUUGAAAAAAAAGCAGGUCAGGGAGGGGACAUGUUAACAGUGGCAUGUACAUUAUAUACGACACAGCUAAAUGAGCUCUAAAAGCUUCCACUGUUUGGCCAUCCAUAAAUCUUGUGUGUUUUUCAGAGCAAGUUCUGCUUGUAUCUGUUCUGCAGCCGUGGGGGUGAGGCGAUGUUUCUCAAUCUCACCAGAGCUUUAGAACGGCUUCAGCGGACAUAAAUAUCUCUGGCCUCUCUCUCUCUCUCUCUCUCUCUCUCUCUCGUUCUCCCUCUUGCCUAUAAAGUGGUUAUUUUUAAUGGGUCUAUUUUUUUAAAUUUUACUCAAACACCAUGAGAGCCAAUUCAUUGUUAUACAGUUGAGUCCACUCUUUUGGCAGUUUCAGUAGCUAUCAACUCAAUCAUUUUCUUCUCUGCUUGCCUUAAUUUUUGUCCAUUAGUCCAUCUCGUUUGCAGAAGCUUCUCUUUAAGCAUUUCUUUAAUACGUUUUAUAAUAGCACACUCCCUGUGUAAUAAAAAAGCUCAAAAGAAAAGAACACACCAUGUCCGAUUUGCUUGGUUUUUACAGUGGAUUGUCGCUUGAACACAAAGGCUUGUGGGAAAUAAGCCUCUCAUUUGUGCACCCUGUCCAGCACAGACACUAGGAAGGUCCAUCUGUCUUUUCUCUUCUUCUUCCCCCUCUUCUCAAAAACAGUUCCUUUAUAGCUGUCAGAUAGUGCUGUGAGUGAGUUGCACACCAUGAUGAGGGACAUGUCCAGCGGCCCGACCGUAACAUCCAAGAGAGAGACCCCAAUGCCCCAAAGCCCACUGGGACGGACAAAAUGAAUAAUUGUAUCUUUUUCAUCCCUCCCCUACUUUACAAGUUCAAGUAUUUUUUUCUUUAAAAAAAAAACAACAGCAAAAAAGAGCAAAUCUACUUUUCUAGUAUUCUACAUUUUCUAAUCUACUAACUGGGGGCAAAACAGCAACCAGAACAUAAUAAUCAGCCCCUUUACUACGUUUCCUUGUCUUUUUUUCAAUGUAUACAUUAUUUCCUUUAUCUUUUUAUUCUUACUUAGGCCACUGGAUAUUGAUUUAAUGAUUUAUUUUGACUACUAUUAAAUUGUAAUACUUGCAGCUACAAGGUAAGAGGUUUUUAAAUAUAUAUAUAUAUAUAUAUAUAUGUAUAUAUUUAUAUUCUUUUAAAAAGCGUUAAGUCCUUUGGUCCCUAUUUCCUAAGGAAUGAUGCAUGUAAAUUCUCCUGGAUUCUCCCUUUCUCUUCUUCUUUCCUCAGAGCUCGCCCUGUCACAGAGCACAUCACCUGUGUAGGCACGAAAACCAAAAUGGCAGCAGGCUGGUGUGUGUGUGUGUGUGUGUGUGUGUGUGUGUGUGUGUGUGUGUGUGUGUGUGUGUGUGUGUGUGUGUGUGUGUGUGUGUGUGUGUGUGUGUGUGGUGUCAGUUUGCAUGCUUUGAGCAUAAUGUGUCUAUAAAGGUUUUCCAUCUUCUCUAAAAAACAGCAGCAAAAAGUUGGUCUCUGCAAAAAAUCCUCUUCCACAGACGCCAAAGCAAAACAGGGAAAAAAAGAGGCAUUUGCUAAAAAAACAAACAAGAAUCUCCGGGUUCUUUCUCCUCCUCAGUCACCCAAUCUUCUCCAGCUAUUCUUCCAGCAGAAUCAAGGGACCACCCUUCUUUCAUGAUAUGUAGCAGAGCAAGAAGUCUUUGUACUUUAUACUGCACUUGUGGAAAUAAGGUGUUGUGGCCCUUCAUCCUGUAAGAGAGAGAGAGAGAGCAGAUUCAGUGAGGCGAGGGCACAGGGGUCUUGUUCAGGGUGCUGGCUCCUGCCUGGUUUAGCACACUGACAGGCACAGCUAACAGAAUGGAAAACAGACAAAGGAAAAGAAGGAGGAUGUCAAUCAGAUCUAGAAAGAAGUAAGCUGGAGGUGGAGGGGUUGUGUUUUACCAUAUGGAACAGAUGUAUGCUGUGACAGCACUAAUCCAAAGGCGGUAGGUAUUUAAAGCAACUUUACUC